GGAGGCGAAAGGAGCCCGGUGGAUCUCCGGGCCUUCAAAGCCUGCGAUGCGGUCCUUCGCGGCCCGCCUGGUGGGUUCGACUCCCAUACGCUUCCGCCA
Molecule: transfer RNA, 99 nt
Filed under: Terriglobia bacterium
Lineage: Bacteria; Pseudomonadati; Acidobacteriota; Terriglobia
Description: tRNA-Sec
Rfam family: Selenocysteine transfer RNA
Source: RNAcentral